UACGGGGGGGCAAGCGUUGUUCGGAAUUACUGGGCGUAAAGGGCUCGUAGGUGGCCAACUAAGUCAGACGUGAAAUCCCCAGGCUUAACCUGGGAACUGCGUCUGAUACUGGAUGGCUUGAAUUCGGGAGAGGGAUGCAGAAUUCCAGGUGUAGCGGUGAAAUGCGUAGAUAUCUGGAGGAAUACCGGUGGCGAAGGCGGCAUCCUGGACCGAGAUUGACACUGAUGAGCGAAAGCUAGGGGAGCAAACGGG
RNAcentral lists this ribosomal RNA (252 nucleotides) under uncultured bacterium. RNAcentral describes it as "partial 16S ribosomal RNA". It matches the Rfam family "Bacterial small subunit ribosomal RNA", at positions 524 to 776 of the family's 1533-position model. The record is from RNAcentral.